AAAAUUGAGAGUUUGAUCCUGGCUCAGGACGAACGCUGGCGGCGUGCUUAACACAUGCAAGUCGAGCGAUGAAGCUUCCUUCGGGAAGUGGAUUAGCGGCGGACGGGUGAGUAACACGUGGGUAACCUGCCUCAAAGUGGGGGAUAGCCUUCCGAAAGGAAGAUUAAUACCGCAUAAUAUGAGAGAAUCGCAUGAUUUUCUUAUCAAAGAUUUAUUGCUUUGAGAUGGACCCGCGGCGCAUUAGCUAGUUGGUAAGGUAACGGCUUACCAAGGCAACGAUGCGUAGCCGACCUGAGAGGGUGAUCGGCCACAUUGGAACUGAGACACGGUCCAGACUCCUACGGGAGGCAGCAGUGGGGAAUAUUGCGCAAUGGGGGAAACCCUGACGCAGCAACGCCGCGUGGGUGAUGAAGGUCUUCGGAUUGUAAAGCCCUGUUUUCUGGGACGAUAAUGACGGUACCAGAGGAGGAAGCCACGGCUAACUACGUGCCAGCAGCCGCGGUAAUACGUAGGUGGCGAGCGUUGUCCGGAUUUACUGGGCGUAAAGGGUGCGUAGGCGGAUGUUUAAGUGGGAUGUGAAAUCCCCGGGCUUAACCUGGGGGCUGCAUUCCAAACUGGAUAUCUAGAGUGCAGGAGAGGAAAGCGGAAUUCCUAGUGUAGCGGUGAAAUGCGUAGAGAUUAGGAAGAACACCAGUGGCGAAGGCGGCUUUCUGGACUGUAACUGACGCUGAGGCACGAAAGCGUGGGUAGCAAACAGGAUUAGAUACCCUGGUAGUCCACGCCGUAAACGAUGGAUACUAGGUGUAGGGGGUAUCAACUCCCCCUGUGCCGCAGUUAACACAAUAAGUAUCCCGCCUGGGGAGUACGGUCGCAAGAUUAAAACUCAAAGGAAUUGACGGGGGCCCGCACAAGCAGCGGAGCAUGUGGUUUAAUUCGAAGCAACGCGAAGAACCUUACCUGGACUUGACAUCCCUUGCAUAGC
This 982-nucleotide ribosomal RNA is filed under the name Clostridium botulinum. RNAcentral's name for it is "bacterial SSU rRNA". It matches the Rfam family "Bacterial small subunit ribosomal RNA", at positions 1 to 999 of the family's 1533-position model. Lineage: Bacteria; Bacillati; Bacillota; Clostridia; Eubacteriales; Clostridiaceae. The record is from RNAcentral.